This is a long non-coding RNA of Paramisgurnus dabryanus, 347 nucleotides long. RefSeq lists it as uncharacterized. The record is from RefSeq and is a predicted model, not a curated record. Lineage: Eukaryota; Metazoa; Chordata; Actinopteri; Cypriniformes; Cobitidae.
AUAACGGACACGGAUUUCAAAGGCAGCAGGAUGAGAGUUAACUAUGUAUCAGGUCUGUUUUCAUCAAGACAUGAAGACUCUGGAGUGGGACAAGAGAAGGAUGGUGGGGUGUUAUUCCAAUAGACACAUUAAGGUAAAGAGGUGGGACAAUGAUGCUGACAGGACAGGAGGAGGUGACAUUCAGACAUUCAGCGCAGACAUUUUCAUCCAAAGCAACUUGAGGAAGAAAACAAGAAGCAGUUCAUCCUAAAAGUGGGCUGCUGUAAUGUUUACAUCUAUGGAAAGAGGAGCUGAGAAGAAAAGAAAGACUGGAAAGCAGUACUUCUUGUUGAGGACAAUCCUGAACA